UUCUCCUCUUCCCUCAUCCCUUGUGAUUAGAAAUAAAUUUGUUAGGUAUGUCUAGGAAACUAAUUACAUCAUCAUGAGGAAUACCCCAGUGGGAAAAUCUUUUCUUUUCAGAUCAAAAGGAUGGCCAGAGGCUACUGUGUUCAAUCCAGAAAUCUGCAGGAGAUAGUGCCUGGGCCUGGAAAGCAGCUCUGCUCCUCAGGAACAUCUGCUCACAGAAAAUGAUCAGAGAGAACGUUGACACGAGUCAUGCAAACUACCACGGACAUGCUGGGGUCCAAAGGCAUUAAAUUUGAAAGAGACAGUUCCAGAAUGCCUGCUUGUCGGGAGGAGGAGGUGGAGCUAGGUUGUAAGUACGUUUUGGCCUCCAUAUCUGUAACCUGGACAAGUUCUCUCUCUGGCUCAGGAGGAGAAGGCAAUGGAAUCAAGCCUGCCAAGACUAUAAAAGCUUUUUCAAGACUGUGAUCUGUUAGAUAAACAAUUUUCCUUCUGCUCCUCAUUCCAUAAAUCCACGCUGACUCUGACUGAUUUUUGUGUGUAUCUCAGAAUAUAAAAUCUUCUACUAACCACAAAGUAAUGGGACCUAUUCAUCUAAUUGAUCACCCCUCCACGGUACAAAUAUCCAAAGCAAUGAAGUAAGAGGAGGAAUGCAGAGCUGAGAAAGAUUAGCAGAGCUAUUGCACUUGUUGAAAUCAGUCAGUGAAUAAGAUACUCGCUUUUUAAAGAAAUAUAUAUUUUUAGGUUUAAAAAAAUGAUAGAAGUGUUAGUGUUAAAGGUUUUCUUCAAGACAUUGAAGAAAAGACAUUUUCAUUGCUUUUUCUUUUUACUUUGGAGAUACCAUAUUUUCCUCCUCUUAGGACUUCUUAGCACACUUAUCUUUAAUCCAGAGAGAGUCAGAAUUGUGCAAAAUAAAGAAGUAUACCCUGACAUACAUCAACAUGGAGCUUUUUCCUUUGGGAUUCUCCCCUGCAUUUGCAUAGACACAGUUUAUUGUAGUUGCUUUAUAAGAAGGUAAGUAAAUAAAGUCAGUUUGCAUAAGGAAUGUCUUGCACAACUUUUCGUUGUGAUGCUCACUUCCUAUCUCCCAUUCCUUCUCAUCCUCUCAAAAUCAAGCAAUAAAAAUUGAACUUUAGUUCAAUUCGAACUCUUUAGAAGAGUUUAGUUAAUUUUAUUUUAGAUUUUGAAUUUCUUUAGUAAUUAUUUCAAAAAUAGGUGGAGCACAGGGCUUAUUUGGUUUUUAACACCCAAAGGAUCCUGGGCUUUUUAAAGCUCUUUGUAUAUUUAAGUAGUAUUGUCGUUCUUAAGGUCAACAGAAUACCAGUGGUUUAAAAUCCAUGAAACCCUAGUGACCUGUCAAUUUGUAGGCCAUUUAGCCAGGUAUAGAAUGAGUUAAAAGCCCGUCUAUAAACAGUCUACCCAAAUAGAGUGUGUACUUACUAGGUUCAUAAUUACACCACAUAAAUCUUCAUUUCCCUUUUUUCUUCUAAAGACAGGACAUAUUUGUGUUUUCUGUUAAGGCACAUGGUUUCUGUUUUCAUUAAAAUUAGCAUGCAUCAAGGAAAAGACAAUGAAAAUUCCUGCUUUAUCAAAAUACUAAUAUGAGAAUAAGACUAUGUUUUAUAAGGGAGUGUUAAGGGGGCCAGGGUGUGCUUAGCUAAAAUUUGAAUGUAUAAUCAUAGUAUUUAAGUACAACUUGACAAAUGCCAUGGAACUACAUGGAAACCUUUUGCUAGAAAACUCUUACCUAGCUCUGCACUUUUGAUUUUUUUCUGUCUUUUCAAUGUUAAUAUCGUUUCUCUGUGCCAUACUCUUUAAGAGUACGUUGCUUAAGUUUAAUUUCCUAUACAAUUCAACUUUAAACCCUAUAUCCAGUAAUUCUUAUAUUGUUCUCUAACUUCUCAUUGCCCUUUUUCUACAUUUUGUACAUUAUAUUAAACAUAUUCAUUAACCAGGUAUCUCUUAUGUGUUAGGUAUUUCUUUAGGCUUCCAGAUCCUCAAUCUUGCCUAUUGAGAGCAGAUUUAAGUAAAAAAAAAAAAAAAGAUGGGUUUUGGACUAAGGCUAGAAUGAUCCCAGGCAUUUUCUUCCUGAAUUCCAUAGCUUAUUGUCUUAUUCUCUCCCAUAAGCCUAAGCUUGGCACUCAAUAGGUGCUCAUCCAAUUUUUAUUCCAGAAUUAACCUGAUGACUAAUGGUUUCUAUAAUCAAAAAAAUAAUUUACCUUGUUAUGUAUACUGCAAUAAUCAACAGCAGAUUCAAAAUUAAUUUGGUAUGAUACAUGUCUCCCAUUACUUAUUUUCAGAUUAUAUUUGGCUCUAUUCUCCUUGUCCUCAAUUAAUCCUUUUAUGUGUUAUUAAUCAAUAUUUAUUAACCUUAAUAUGUGCUUGGCACAGUCUUUGGAACAGUAGGACUCCCCGACCCCCCAAAACACACACAUGCUUAUAAUAUAUAUCAUAUACGUGUUUUGAGUCCACUUGGGUAAAUAAUUAUACACAUAUAGACUAUUAAGCAAUACAGCACUGAUAUAAUAAAAGUCAAAGGCUUAUUAAGAAUUGUUUCAGUGGUACAGACAGUAAAUUAUUGGAGUUUACAACAGGUGAUCUCUGAGGCUGACUGAGCAGGAACAGUUUUGUGGAGGCUCUGCAGCUUGAGGGGGGUCUUACAGGAUAGGUGGGGUUUGGAGACCAAGAACAACACCAUCUGUGUGUAUAAUUCUUUAGACUUCACAAGUGGUUUUAUGGGCAGUGUCUGUUUUAAUCCUCUCCUAUGUGCUGUGAGGAAAGUACUCCCACCUCCGUUUUGUGUUUGAGACAACUCUCACCAGGGUUAAAGGAACUUGCCUCAUGCCCUGGAGAAAGCCGAGCCUGCAGCCCAAGACUUCCCACCAACCCUCUUUCCUCUCAAUCAGAGUUGCUUCAAUAUAAGAAUGACACAAAGAGAAGUGUCACUGACCUAAACGCCCAGAGAUGCGUUUUCAUGAAUUCUUAUAGUCAUUUAAGCAAAGAUGUUAUGUAGAAAUCAAAGAGUAAUGGACCUUCUAUAAUGAAGAAUUCUGUGAUAAAAGAUACUUUACUUUUUAAUCUAAAGAUGGUCCUUGGAGCACACUAGGACAGAGCCUGGGCUGUGGAGACAGACUCAUUUGGGUUUAAGAGCCUGGUUCUGUUUCUUAAUCGUGAGUUCAUUUCCCAAGUUCCAUGGAAAUGUCUCCUUUCUUGAACUUUCCCUUACUUCUGCAUGCAUAAUUAUUUGCUUACUCAUCAGC
Equus caballus (horse) is the source of this 3254-nucleotide non-coding RNA. The record is from RefSeq and is a predicted model, not a curated record. Lineage: Eukaryota; Metazoa; Chordata; Mammalia; Perissodactyla; Equidae.